RNAcentral lists this long non-coding RNA (621 nucleotides) under Vulpes vulpes (red fox). RNAcentral's name for it is "lncRNA (ENSVVUG00000013212.1)". Lineage: Eukaryota; Metazoa; Chordata; Mammalia; Carnivora; Canidae. The record is from RNAcentral.
UCUGACUUGAGCUGCCUCUUACAUUUUUGCUGCACUGGUAAAACUCCCACUUCCUCAGAUUAAACCAACUCCUGCCUUUUAAGAAGGCUUUAGACUUGGCUUGUGAUUAUUGGCUAUUCCCUGAACCACUUCUGGAAGAACCUCUAACUCUACAAUGUCCUUCUUCUGGCUUUGCUUCCCAGCUAGAGCAAAGGUACAAGGACCAGUUCCCCGCUGCCAACCAAGCUGACCAGUGAAGUUCAUGAGUGGUGUAUGCUAAAGAUACAAGAUACUGAAGACUCAAGAAGGAGAAAGGCAUUCAGCAAGGAAAACUCUUCAGAGGAGGAAACACUUCAGUUGGCUUUUGACAGGAAAAUGAGUCCUGACAAUCCUAAAAAGGGGAAGGCAAUGGAGACAACACUCAGUAGAGGGAUAUGCAGGCUUCCUGCAUGGGAACUUCCAGAAGUAGUGAGCCCUCAAAGCUGCUUGGCCUUUGGCCCUCAUCUCUCUGAUUUCAUCUCCUGUAAGCACCCCAACCAUCCUCUACUGCAUCAGCAAAUCCUAGAACAGACCUUGCCUCCUGGCCUUUGCACAUAAUGAGGCCUUGGAGUGUUUACUGGAUUCUGACCAAUGGAGUUUCAU